GAUAGUUGAGUAUUCUUUCAGAUUUUUCAUCAAUAUGUUGUAUUUUUAAAUAAUUUUCUUAAAAACUGCUAUUUUUAGAAAGUUUUCAUUUUAUAUAGAAAUAUUAUAGAUUUGGGUUUGUGAUUUAGAAAUUAUGACUACAAGAAUAUUUGUGGACAGAUAAGUGUUCUUUCAGAAUUUUGCAUCAAUAUGUUGUAUUUUAAAAUAAUUUUCUUAAAAACUGCUAUUUUUAGAAAGUUGUAAUAGUUACUAAAUUUUUAAUUAUUCGAUAUAUAUUUAUUAUUUCAUAAUUUGUAAAAAAUAUAUAAUACUUAAAAAUAAUUUAUAUAUAAUAUUCGUUCUGCGCAAGGCGCGGAUCUUAACCUAGUUAAUAAGUAUUUCAUAUUGGAUUUUAAUGUGACACGGCUAGAGUCAGAUUGACUAAGACGAAUAGACAAUCUAAUCUAUUAAUUUAUAUUUCUAUUUUAAUAUGACAUAUUCGAUUAUUUACAUUAAUAAUAAACUAAUUAUAAAUUUGAAUUAUAUAUUUUUAAUUAUAACAAAAUAUGUUGAUAAAAAUCUAAUAAAAUCUUACUUAAAAUUAAAUAUUUUUAUAAAAUAAAACAUUAGUUAAUUUUGUAAUUAUUAGUAUAAUAUCAUUAUAAAUCAAUGUUAAUUAAAAUUUUAUUCUAAAAAAAUAAAAUAAAAUUAUAUACUAUUUUUUAUAAAUUUUAUAGUUAUAUUCUGUAUUAUAUAAAAAAGAAGUGAUUUAUGAAUUACAUAUGACAAAAUUAUAUUAAAUAGGUAAACUAACAAAUUUUAUUUUUUUAAAUGGUUUCAUUUAAAUAAAAUAUCACUCAUCAUUAAAAUGGGUUAAAAUUCAUAAACUAUUUCUUUUUAUAUAAAAAUAAAUUUAGUAACAUACGUUAAACUUUUAUAUCUACAACUAUAUGUUAUCUUUUUAUUUAUUUUAAAAUUCUCAACAAUAUGUUGUGUAAAAAUGUUUAUACAUAAACAUAAUGGUAUAUAAUAACUUUUAGCUCAUAUACUAUUUUUUUAAAAUGUUAUUAGAAAAUUAUGAAAUUUUAGUAAUUCAUUUAAAAUAUAAUUACAAAUAAUAUUUUAGUAAUUCAUUUAAAAUAUUAUUACAAAUAAAAUUUUAAUUAUUAUUUUUAAUUAUAACAAAAUCUGUUGAUAAAAAUUUAUAAAACAUUACCAAAAGUCAAAUUGUUUUAAAUAAAAUAAUGUAUUAAUGUAAUAAUAAAAAAAUUCCAAAUUCAUGUAAUCUUCCAAACUCAAAAAUAGUUGUGUAGUUUUCCAAAAUUUUCUUGAAAAAUUACAAUUUCAAAUUUUAUAAAAGAUAAAAUCAUAGAUAAUAAAUAAUAAAUUUUUGAAAUGCACCACGAAAAAAAACUAUAUAUGUUGUAAAAAUUAAAGUAAUCUUAUGUUUUGAAACUUAAUUAAAAACAUUAAUAUCAUAACAUCCAUAAAAUAUCCUAUUUCAAUAAAAUUUACUAAAAUAAAUUGAUAGAUGCUACUAUGUAUAAUUAUUUUAUUAUAAUAAUAUAUAUAUAUUAUUUAAAUAAAACAAUGUUUUUACUUAUAGAGCCUGUAAAAUACUAAUGAUAUAUGUUAAAGUAUUUUUUUUUAAACACAACAUAUAAAUAUAAAUGAUCUUAAACAUAUUUUUUUUUAAUAUGAUUAAAUAAAAUUUUAACAAUGUAUUAUAUGCAAAAUGUAUAAAUUAAAGAAAAAAUGUAUUUUGGAGGAGGUUUUCUAUUUGAUUAUUUCAUAUUACUAUUUUAUUUUACAUAUCUCAAAAAUAUAUUCGUAAGUAAUAAAAAAUAAUAAAAAAUAAAGUGUAUUAAACAAACCACUAUAUAUUAAUAAUGUCGAAAAAGAAAUAUAAAAAAGAAUAUUAUAGAAUUACGCAAUAGAUAACAUUAAACUGAAAAUUAUAGAUUUAAAAGAUUUGUAAUAAAAUCAAUUACAUUUAUAAAAUGAAAAAAUAUCCUGAAACAAAUAUCCGCACAGACGUGCGGGUCAAAAGCUAGUAAAUUUUUAAAAGUGAGACAUCUGCAUAGAUCAUCAUAAUCUGUUUAUGUUAGGUAUCUAACAUGAGUACACAUAUAUUAAAAUUAGGUUUAACGGAUAAAACAUGCUAUUUUUGGAAACUUUUCAUUUUAUAGAAAAAUGUUGUAGGUUUGAGUUUAUGGUUUUGAAAUUAGGAUAACAAGAAUAUUUGUUGAUAUAUGAUUAUUCUUUCAGUUUUUUUCAUCGAUAUGUUGUAUUUUUAAAUAAUUUUCUUAAAAACUGCUAUUUUUAGAAAAUUUUCAUUUUACAGAGAAUAUUGUAGAUUUGGUUUUGUUAUUUAGAAAUUAGGAUUACAAGAAUAUUUGUGGAUAGAUAAGUAUUCUCUCAGAAUUUUGUAUCAAUAGGUUGUAUUUUUAAAUAAUUUUAUUAAAAGCUGCUAUUUUUGGAAAGUUUUCAUUUUUUUUAGAGAAAUAUUGUUGAUUUGAGUAUAUGGUUGAAAAAUUAGAGUAACAAGAAUAUAUGUUGAUAUAUGAGUAUUCUGUCAGAGUUUUCCUUAAAUAUGUUGUAUUUUAAAAUAAUCUUCUUAAAAACUGCUAUUUAUAGAAAUUUUUCAUUUUUCAAGGGAAAUAAUUUAGAAUUGGGUUUGUGGUAUAAAAAUUAAGAUAACAAGAAUACUUUUGGAUUAGUUGAGUAUUCUUUCAGAUUUUUUCAUCAAUAGGUUGUAUUUUUAAAUAAAUUUCUUAAGAACUGCUAUUAGGAAAGUUUUCAUUUUUUUAGAGAAAUAUUUUAGAUUUGAGUUUGUGGUUUAGAAUUUAAGAUAAAAAUAUUAUUUGUGAAUAGUUGAGUAUUCUUUCAGAUUUUUUCAUCAAUAUGUUGUAUUUUUAAAUAAUUUUCUUAAAAACUGCUAUUUUUAGAAAGUUUUCAUUUUAUAGAGAAAUAUUGUAGAUUUGGGUUUAUGAUUUAGAAAUUAGGAUUACAAGAAUAUUUGUGGAUAGAUAAGUAUUCUUUCAUAAUUUUUUAUCAAUAUGUUAUAUUUUUAUAUAAUAUUUUUUAAAACUGCUAUUUUUGGAAAGUUUUCAUUUUUUUAGAGAAAUAUUGUAGAUUUGAGUUUGUGGUUUAGAAGUUAAGAUCAAAAGAUUAUUUGUGGAUAGUUGAGCAUUCUUUCAGAUUUUUUCAUCAAUAUGUUGUAUUUUUAAAUAAUUUUCCUAAAAACUGCUAUUUUUAUAAAGUUUUCAUUUUAUAUAGAAAUAUUAUAGAUUUGGGUUUGUGAUUUAGAAAUUGGGACUACAACAAUAUUUGUGGACAGAUAAGUGUUCUUUCAGAAUUUUGCAUCAAUAUGUUGUAUUCUUAUAUAAUUUUUUAAAAACAGCUAUUUUUGGUAACUUUUCAUUUUAUAGAGAAAUAUUGAAGAUUUGAGUUUAUGGUUGAAAAAUUAGAGUAACAAGAAUAUAUGUUGAUAUAUGAGUAUUCUUUCAGAGUUUUCCUUAAAUAGGUUGUAUUUUUAAAUAAUCUUCUUAAAAGCUGCUAUUUUUGGAAAUUUUUCAUUUUUUAGAGAAAUAUUUUAGAAUUGGGUUUGUGGUAUAAAAAUUAAGAUAACAAGAAUACUUUUGGAUUAGUUGAGUAUUCUUUCAGAGUUUUUCAUCAAUAGGUUGUAUUUUUAAAUAAAUUUCUUAAAAACUGCUAUUUUAGGAAAGUUUUCAUUUUUUUUAGAGAAAUAUUGUAGAUUUGAGUUUGUGGUUUAGAAGUUGAGAUCAAAAGAUUAUUUGUGGAUAGUUGAGUAUUCUUUCAGAUUUAUUCAUCAAUAUGUUGUAUUCUUAAAUAAUUUUCUUAAAAACUGCUAUUUUU
This 3858-nucleotide long non-coding RNA is filed under the name Brassica napus (rape). RNAcentral's name for it is "long non-coding RNA (BNAP_LNC006397)". The record is from RNAcentral. Lineage: Eukaryota; Viridiplantae; Streptophyta; Magnoliopsida; Brassicales; Brassicaceae.